This 2902-nucleotide ribosomal RNA is filed under the name Klebsiella pneumoniae. RNAcentral describes it as "23S ribosomal RNA". It matches the Rfam family "Bacterial large subunit ribosomal RNA". The record is from RNAcentral. RNAcentral also lists the same sequence under 1 other name. Lineage: Bacteria; Pseudomonadati; Pseudomonadota; Gammaproteobacteria; Enterobacterales; Enterobacteriaceae.
GGUUAAGCGACUAAGCGUACACGGUGGAUGCCCUGGCAGUCAGAGGCGAUGAAGGACGUGCUAAUCUGCGAAAAGCGUCGGUAAGGUGAUAUGAACCGUUAUAACCGGCGAUGUCCGAAUGGGGAAACCCAGUGUGAUUCGUCACACUAUCGUUAACUGAAUACAUAGGUUAACGAGGCGAACCGGGGGAACUGAAACAUCUAAGUACCCCGAGGAAAAGAAAUCAACCGAGAUUCCCCCAGUAGCGGCGAGCGAACGGGGAGCAGCCCAGAGUCUGAAUCAGCUUGUGUGUUAGUGGAACGGUCUGGAAAGUCCGACGGUACAGGGUGAUAGUCCCGUACACCAAAAUGCACAGGCUGUGAACUCGAAGAGUAGGGCGGGACACGUGGUAUCCUGUCUGAAUAUGGGGGGACCAUCCUCCAAGGCUAAAUACUCCUGACUGACCGAUAGUGAACCAGUACCGUGAGGGAAAGGCGAAAAGAACCCCGGCGAGGGGAGUGAAAAAGAACCUGAAACCGUGUACGUACAAGCAGUGGGAGCACCUUCGGGUGUGACUGCGUACCUUUUGUAUAAUGGGUCAGCGACUUAUAUUCUGUAGCAAGGUUAACCGUAUAGGGGAGCCGCAGGGAAACCGAGUCUUAACUGGGCGUUAAGUUGCAGGGUAUAGACCCGAAACCCGGUGAUCUAGCCAUGGGCAGGUUGAAGGUUGGGUAACACUAACUGGAGGACCGAACCGACUAAUGUUGAAAAAUUAGCGGAUGACUUGUGGCUGGGGGUGAAAGGCCAAUCAAACCGGGAGAUAGCUGGUUCUCCCCGAAAGCUAUUUAGGUAGCGCCUCGUGAACUCAUCUUCGGGGGUAGAGCACUGUUUCGGCUAGGGGGUCAUCCCGACUUACCAACCCGAUGCAAACUACGAAUACCGAAGAAUGUUAUCACGGGAGACACACGGCGGGUGCUAACGUCCGUCGUGAAGAGGGAAACAACCCAGACCGCCAGCUAAGGUCCCAAAGUCAUGGUUAAGUGGGAAACGAUGUGGGAAGGCACAGACAGCCAGGAUGUUGGCUUAGAAGCAGCCAUCAUUUAAAGAAAGCGUAAUAGCUCACUGGUCGAGUCGGCCUGCGCGGAAGAUGUAACGGGGCUAAACCAUGCACCGAAGCUGCGGCAGCGACACUAUGUGUUGUUGGGUAGGGGAGCGUUCUGUAAGCCUGCGAAGGUGUGCUGUGAGGCAUGCUGGAGGUAUCAGAAGUGCGAAUGCUGACAUAAGUAACGAUAAAGCGGGUGAAAAGCCCGCUCGCCGGAAGACCAAGGGUUCCUGUCCAACGUUAAUCGGGGCAGGGUGAGUCGACCCCUAAGGCGAGGCCGAAAGGCGUAGUCGAUGGGAAACAGGUUAAUAUUCCUGUACUUGGUGUUACUGCGAAGGGGGGACGGAGAAGGCUAUGUUAGCCGGGCGACGGUUGUCCCGGUUUAAGCAUGUAGGCUGGUUGUCCAGGCAAAUCCGGAUAAUCAAGGCUGAGGUGUGAUGACGAGGCACUACGGUGCUGAAGUAACAAAUGCCCUGCUUCCAGGAAAAGCCUCUAAGCAUCAGGUAACAUCAAAUCGUACCCCAAACCGACACAGGUGGUCAGGUAGAGAAUACCAAGGCGCUUGAGAGAACUCGGGUGAAGGAACUAGGCAAAAUGGUGCCGUAACUUCGGGAGAAGGCACGCUGGUGUGUAGGUGAAGUCCCUGCGGAUGGAGCUGAGACCAGUCGAAGAUACCAGCUGGCUGCAACUGUUUAUUAAAAACACAGCACUGUGCAAACACGAAAGUGGACGUAUACGGUGUGACGCCUGCCCGGUGCCGGAAGGUUAAUUGAUGGGGUUAUCCGUAAGGAGAAGCUCUUGAUCGAAGCCCCGGUAAACGGCGGCCGUAACUAUAACGGUCCUAAGGUAGCGAAAUUCCUUGUCGGGUAAGUUCCGACCUGCACGAAUGGCGUAAUGAUGGCCAGGCUGUCUCCACCCGAGACUCAGUGAAAUUGAACUCGCUGUGAAGAUGCAGUGUACCCGCGGCAAGACGGAAAGACCCCGUGAACCUUUACUAUAGCUUGACACUGAACAUUGAGCCUUGAUGUGUAGGAUAGGUGGGAGGCUUUGAAGCGUGGACGCCAGUCUGCGUGGAGCCAACCUUGAAAUACCACCCUUUAAUGUUUGAUGUUCUAACGUUGGCCCCUUACCGGGGUUGCGGACAGUGUCUGGUGGGUAGUUUGACUGGGGCGGUCUCCUCCCAAAGCGUAACGGAGGAGCACGAAGGUUAGCUAAUCCUGGUCGGACAUCAGGAGGUUAGUGCAAUGGCAUAAGCUAGCUUGACUGCGAGCGUGACGGCGCGAGCAGGUGCGAAAGCAGGUCAUAGUGAUCCGGUGGUUCUGAAUGGAAGGGCCAUCGCUCAACGGAUAAAAGGUACUCCGGGGAUAACAGGCUGAUACCGCCCAAGAGUUCAUAUCGACGGCGGUGUUUGGCACCUCGAUGUCGGCUCAUCACAUCCUGGGGCUGAAGUAGGUCCCAAGGGUAUGGCUGUUCGCCAUUUAAAGUGGUACGCGAGCUGGGUUUAGAACGUCGUGAGACAGUUCGGUCCCUAUCUGCCGUGGGCGCUGGAGAAUUGAGGGGGGCUGCUCCUAGUACGAGAGGACCGGAGUGGACGCAUCACUGGUGUUCGGGUUGUCAUGCCAAUGGCACUGCCCGGUAGCUAAAUGCGGAAGAGAUAAGUGCUGAAAGCAUCUAAGCACGAAACUUGCCCCGAGAUGAGUUCUCCCUGAGACUUUAAGUCUCCUGAAGGAACGUUGAAGACGACGACGUUGAUAGGCCGGGUGUGUAAGCGCAGCGAUGCGUUGAGCUAACCGGUACUAAUGAACCGUGAGGCUUAACCUU